This is a long non-coding RNA of Saccostrea echinata, 114 nucleotides long. RefSeq lists it as uncharacterized. The transcript has 3 exons. Lineage: Eukaryota; Metazoa; Mollusca; Bivalvia; Ostreida; Ostreidae. The record is from RefSeq and is a predicted model, not a curated record.
GGCCCUGGUGCUGAUCUUGUAGAGAUUGCAACAGCAGGUCCAUCUAUGGGUAGUGAUGGUCCAGAUGAUACAUCUGUAGGUGAAAGUCUGGAAGAGAACACAAAUGUAACAAGU